RNAcentral lists this ribosomal RNA (277 nucleotides) under uncultured bacterium. RNAcentral describes it as "partial 16S ribosomal RNA". It matches the Rfam family "Bacterial small subunit ribosomal RNA", at positions 77 to 353 of the family's 1533-position model. The record is from RNAcentral.
CAAACUGGAGAUGGCGACCGGCGCACGGGUGAGUAACACGUAUCCAACCUGCCGAUAACUCGGGGAUAGCCUUUCGAAAGAAAGAUUAAUACCCGAUGGCAUAAUAGAACCGCAUGGUUUGAUUAUUAAAGAAUUUCGGUUAUCGAUGGGGAUGCGUUCCAUUAGGCAGUUGGUGGGGGUAACGGCCCACCAAGCCUUCGAUGGAUAGGGGUUCUGAGAGGAAGGUCCCCCACAUUGGAACUGAGACACGGCCCAAACUCCUACGGGAGGCAGCAUG